Molecule: long non-coding RNA, 869 nt
Organism: Portunus trituberculatus (swimming crab)
Lineage: Eukaryota; Metazoa; Arthropoda; Malacostraca; Decapoda; Portunidae
Exons: 4
Source: RefSeq, a predicted model, not a curated record
AUGAGGGCGUGAGGUGGGCGUGUGUCAGCCAAAGGAAGGGCAGCACAUUCGAAGACAGCCGAGGUGAUCCCACACCAGCUGAACAAAUCCUCGGCCUUUUGUCUUAUGGCGGCGGGCGAGUGCGGUUCAUUGUGUGUGCGUGCGUGCGUGGCGUCGCGGUUAGUGUAGUGAUAGAUAGUGUGUGUUAGUUUAUCCUAUUGAAUGCGUCUUCCUCGCGUUGGAUUUGGUGAGUACCCGUAUCACAGGUCACACCGUGGGACUGACACCGCUGGAGCAACCCUUCGGAAUAAAGUAAAGUACAAAUUACUGUUUCCUAGGCGUUAGGCAUAGGGCGAUAGGCGGCGCGGCUAACCAUUCUCUUCCAGGUACAAACUAACCUUCUCUUCCAGGUACAUGUUAAUUAUCUAGUCUUCCCCAGUAAUGCCCUGGUUAGCGCACCGUGGCGGCGAUCCUGGAGCCUCGUGCUGGUGGUGGUGGUGGUGGCGGCGUAGCUGGCUGGCUGGCUGUGGCGGGCGUGCACGUGCUAUCAUCAUAUGGGUUGCGUGGUAGGUGCGUUCAGUGGUCUGGGCUGUGUUGGUGCGUGUUCUGAAGAGAUGACCGCAGACACACUGGCUGCUGAUGACUAGAGCCGCACAGAGGCAGUGUUCUGUACAAGCUGGAUGGAAGUAUGGAAAAGUAACAUGAACAAGGUUGUGAAUGUUCGGGUGUGGUGUGGAUGAGCAAGUGAGCGAGCUGGCAUUGGGAGCCGAGCGGGGGAGGCAGCGCGACGUGAGGCUAGCCAAGAUGUAGGAAGAUUGUACUGUACUUAUGCUAUGGAAUGGUGUUGUUACUGUAAAGCAUACUUAAGAAAGAUAAAAAUAUGGCUGAUU